CGUAACAAGGUUUCCGUAGGUGAACCUGCGGAAGGAUCAUUGUGCUGAUUUCGUGCCUACCGAUUCCGUGGUUAUGCGUUCGUCAACCCCGGCGCGGAACGCGCCAAGGAAAUCUAACCAAGAGAGCCAUGUCGGAGGCCCCGGACACGGUGCGCCCCCGGCGUCGGCGUCUUAUGAAUUUAUUCAAAACAACUCUCGGCAAUGGAUAUCUCAGCUCUCGCAUCGAUGAAGAACGUAGCAAAAUGAGAUACUUGGUGUGAAUUGCAGAAUCUCGUGAACCAUCGAGUCUUUGAACGCAAGUUGCACCCCAAGCCUUCUGGCCGAGGGCAUGUCUGCUUGGGUGUCACAAAUCGUUGUCCCCCCAUCCUCUCGAGGAUAUGGGACGGAAGCUGAUCUCCCAUGUGUUACCCACGCGGUUGGCCAAAAUCCGAGCUAAGGACGCCAGGAGCAUCUUGACAUGCAGUGGUGAAUUCAAUUCUCGUCAUAUAGUCAGAUGUUCCGGUCCAAAAGCUCUUGAUGACCCAAAGUCUUCAACGCGACCCCAGGUCAGGCGGGAUCAUCCGCUGAG
This 568-nucleotide ribosomal RNA is filed under the name embryophyte environmental sample. RNAcentral describes it as "eukaryotic LSU rRNA". The stretch from base 191 to 346 matches the Rfam family "5.8S ribosomal RNA". The record is from RNAcentral. Lineage: Eukaryota; Viridiplantae; Streptophyta.